CCUACGGGUGGCAGCAGUGAGGAAUAUUGGUCAAUGGACGCGAGUCUGAACCAGCCAAGUAGCGUGAAGGAUGACUGCCCUAUGGGUUGUAAACUUCUUUUAUAUGGGAAUAAAAUGUUCCACGUGUGGGAUUUUGUAUGUACCAUAUGAAUAAGGAUCGGCUAACUCCGUGCCAGCAGCCGCGGUAAUACGGAGGAUCCGAGCGUUUUCCGGAUUUAUUGGGUUUAAAGGGAGCGUAGGUGGAUUUUUAAGUCAGUUGUGAAAGUUUGCGGCUCAACCGUAAAAUUGCAGUUGAAACUGGCAGUCUUGAGUACAGUAGAGGUGGGCGGAAUUCGUGGUGUAGCGGUGAAAUGCUUAGAUAUCACGAAGAACUCCGAUUGCGAAGGCAGUUCACUGGACUGCAACUGACACUGAGGCUCGAAAGUGUGGGUAUCAAACAGGAUUAGAUACCCGAGUAGUC
This 460-nucleotide ribosomal RNA is filed under the name uncultured bacterium. RNAcentral describes it as "partial 16S ribosomal RNA". It matches the Rfam family "Bacterial small subunit ribosomal RNA", at positions 338 to 795 of the family's 1533-position model. The record is from RNAcentral.